RNAcentral lists this unclassified non-coding RNA (330 nucleotides) under soil metagenome. RNAcentral describes it as "partial contains 5.8S ribosomal RNA, internal transcribed spacer 2, and large subunit ribosomal RNA". The stretch from base 1 to 120 matches the Rfam family "5.8S ribosomal RNA", at positions 35 to 154 of the family's 154-position model. The record is from RNAcentral.
GAUGAAGAACGUAGCGAAAUGCGAUAAGUAAUGUGAAUUGCAGAAUUCAGUGAAUCAUCGAAUCUUUGAACGCACAUUGCGCCCCUUGGUAUUCCGAGGGGCAUGCCUGUUCGAGCGUCAUUAUAACCCCUCAAGCUUAGCUUGGUGUUGGGGCCUGCUGUAAUAGAGCAGCCCUUAAAAUCAGUGGCGGUGCCAUUAGGCUCUAAGCGUAGUAAUUCUUCUCGCUAUAGGGUUCUGGUGGAUGCUUGCCAUUAACCUCUAAUUUUCUAUGGUUGACCUCAAAUCAGGUAGGACUACCCGCUGAACUUAAGCAUAUCAAUAAGCGGAGGA